This 82-nucleotide transfer RNA is filed under the name Devosia sp. Root413D1. It matches the Rfam family "tRNA". From Rfam's summary of the family: Transfer RNA (tRNA) molecules are approximately 80 nucleotides in length. The record is from Rfam by way of RNAcentral. Lineage: Bacteria; Pseudomonadati; Pseudomonadota; Alphaproteobacteria; Hyphomicrobiales; Devosiaceae.
GCGGGUGUGGCGGAACUGGUAGACGCACUGGAUUUAGGUUCCAGCGCCGCAAGGCGUGGAGGUUCGAGCCCUCUCACCCGCA